UUGGCGUGAUGAGGAAAAUGUGUUUAUUUCUCAGAUUAACUCAUGAUUGGAAUUAAAACAUACCCUCCUACUCAUUCUGA
Molecule: small nucleolar RNA, 80 nt
Filed under: Zostera marina
Lineage: Eukaryota; Viridiplantae; Streptophyta; Magnoliopsida; Alismatales; Zosteraceae
Description: Small nucleolar RNA Z105
Rfam family: Small nucleolar RNA Z105
About the family: This family consists of several snoRNA Z105 sequences which are members of the C/D class of snoRNA which contain the C (UGAUGA) and D (CUGA) box motifs.
Source: Rfam by way of RNAcentral